UCCCCAGUAAAAAGUCCAUUUUACUUCUUAACUAUUUAUCCUCUUAUCCUCCUUUUUUUUCAUAAGCGGUUCAAAGAAAAUGCAAUAUUUUUCUCAUGCAUUCUAUUCUUUCACAAAUGGAUCCGAACAGAAAUCUUUUGAUCUUAUACCAUUUAGUUUGAAUAAAUAGGAUACCCGUACAAAUGAACAUAUAUGGUCGAGGACUUCCCAUUAUUGAAUCAUUCACCGUCCAUAUUAUUUUCCUUGCAUUCACAAAGAAAGUCUUCUUUUUGAAAAUCAAAAAAAUUCUGGGACGAGGUAAAAAAUUUGAAUACUUUUUUUGAGUGUAUUUCAUUUACAUAGAUACAAGUAUUCUACGAGGAUGAUGCGCGGGAAAUGGUCGGGAUAGCUCAGUUGGUAGAGCAGAGGACUGAAAAUCCUCGUGUCA
RNAcentral lists this unclassified non-coding RNA (427 nucleotides) under Gilliesia cuspidata. Its description in RNAcentral is "Solaria cuspidata partial contains tRNA-Leu and trnL-trnF intergenic spacer". The stretch from base 379 to 427 matches the Rfam family "tRNA", at positions 1 to 47 of the family's 71-position model. Lineage: Eukaryota; Viridiplantae; Streptophyta; Magnoliopsida; Asparagales; Amaryllidaceae. The record is from RNAcentral.